This is a non-coding RNA of Pelobates cultripes (western spadefoot toad), 509 nucleotides long. Lineage: Eukaryota; Metazoa; Chordata; Amphibia; Anura; Pelobatidae. The record is from the annotation of a GenBank genome assembly.
CCAAAACUGAAUAAAAAUGGCGCAAACAUAAUUUGUAAAGUACCAGUAACAACACCCUAAAACCGUGUAACUUUAAAACACACGCAGUAACCUAUAAUGAACACGGAUUUAAAAAUCCCCCCAAAACGAUUCACUAUAGAACAGUGUUAUUUGUUCACAAGUAGGAAGAUUGUUUCCUUUUUGGAUGGAAACAUUUGGUCACUUAUAUAUAUUGAUUUUUCAUUCACAUUCACAUGGUUUUAUUAAUGUUUUACGCACCUAUAAAUUAGAUUUGUCUACAAUGUAUAUACCCAUAAUAUGGGUAUUUGGGAUGCAAAACAAACAUUCACUGUGUACACAUGAGGUUAAUCCUGGACCCCAUUGACUGUACAUAAACAGAUCCAGUCCUGUUUUCCAUCCUAUAUCGGUGCCGGGUACAGGCAAAUAUCAGGCCACCACAUGUAAGCAAGAACCUGCCUCGAACCCUUCCUGAUUUCGGAGGGACAGUCUAGAUUUUCAGGUCCUGAGAC